This 329-nucleotide ribosomal RNA is filed under the name uncultured eukaryote. RNAcentral describes it as "partial 18S ribosomal RNA". It matches the Rfam family "Eukaryotic small subunit ribosomal RNA", at positions 1470 to 1796 of the family's 1831-position model. The record is from RNAcentral.
UCCUUAGAUGUUCUGGGCCGCACGCGCGCUACACUGAUGCAUUCAACGAGUCUAAAACCUGCUCUGAUAGGGGUGGGUAAUCUUUUGAAUGUGCAUCGUGAUUGGGAUAGAUGAUUGAAAUUUUUCAUCUUCAACGAGGAAUGCCUAGUAAACGCAAGUCAUCAGCUUGCAUUGAUUACGUCCCUGCCCUUUGUACACACCGCCCGUCGCUCCUACCGAUUGAAUGAUCCGAUGAAUAUCAUGGAUUGAGGAUGCAAGUAGGUUCACCUAUCUUCAUCUUCGAGAAGUGAAGUAAAUCUUAUCAUUUAGAGGAAGGAGAAGUCGUAACA